Molecule: small nuclear RNA, 103 nt
Organism: Eublepharis macularius
Lineage: Eukaryota; Metazoa; Chordata; Lepidosauria; Squamata; Eublepharidae
Source: RefSeq, a predicted model, not a curated record
AUGUUUUGGCAGCACAUGUACUAAUAUGGGAAUGAUACAGAGAAGAUUAGCAUUGUCCCUUUGUCAGAAUGAUACCCACAUUUAUGGAGCAUUCCAUAUUUUG